Molecule: ribosomal RNA, 459 nt
Filed under: uncultured bacterium
Lineage: Bacteria
Description: partial 16S ribosomal RNA
Rfam family: Bacterial small subunit ribosomal RNA
Source: RNAcentral
CCUACGGGUGGCAGCAGUGAGGAAUAUUGGUCAAUGGCCGAGAGGCUGAACCAGCCAAGUCGCGUGAGGGAAGACGGCCCUACGGGUUGUAAACCUCUUUUGUCGGGGAGCAAAGCGAGUCACGUGUGACUCAUUGAGAGUACCCGAAGAAAAAGCAUCGGCUAACUCCGUGCCAGCAGCCGCGGUAAUACGGAGGAUGCGAGCGUUAUCCGGAUUUAUUGGGUUUAAAGGGUGCGCAGGCGGAGGUGCAAGUCAGCGGUCAAAUUGCGGGGCUCAACCCCGUACUGCCGUUGAAACUGCAGCCCUUGAGUGCGAGAGAAGUAUGCGGAAUGCGUGGUGUAGCGGUGAAAUGCAUAGAUAUCACGCAGAACUCCGAUUGCGAAGGCAGCAUACCAGCGCGCAACUGACGCUCAUGCACGAAAGCGUGGGUAUCGAACAGGAUUAGAUACCCGAGUAGUC